Molecule: ribosomal RNA, 512 nt
Filed under: Penicillium roqueforti
Lineage: Eukaryota; Fungi; Ascomycota; Eurotiomycetes; Eurotiales; Aspergillaceae
Description: eukaryotic LSU rRNA
Rfam family: Eukaryotic large subunit ribosomal RNA
Source: RNAcentral
GCGGCAAGAGCUCAAAUUUGAAAGCUGGCUCCUUCGGGGUCCGCAUUGUAAUUUGUAGAGGAUGCUUCGGGAGCGGUCCCCAUCUAAGUGCCCUGGAACGGGACGUCAUAGAGGGUGAGAAUCCCGUAUGGGAUGGGGUGUCCGCGCCCGUGUGAAGCUCCUUCGACGAGUCGAGUUGUUUGGGAAUGCAGCUCUAAAUGGGUGGUAAAUUUCAUCUAAAGCUAAAUAUUGGCCGGAGACCGAUAGCGCACAAGUAGAGUGAUCGAAAGAUGAAAAGCACUUUGAAAAGAGAGUUAAAAAGCACGUGAAAUUGUUGAAAGGGAAGCGCUUGCGACCAGACUCGCUCGCGGGGUUCAGCCGGCAUUCGUGCCGGUGUAUUUCCCCGCGGGCGGGCCAGCGUCGGUUUGGGCGGUCGGUCAAAGGCCCUCGGAAGGUAACGCCCCUAGGGGCGUCUUAUAGCCGAGGGUGCAAUGCGACCUGCCUAGACCGAGGAACGCGCUUCGGCUCGGACG